UGUACCCAAGCUGGCAACGCUGUCCCCUUCCACUUCUCUUCUUCUCCCAAUUUUCCCUUCGUCCCAAAAGUUCCUUAAACCCUAACCCUAAUCUCUUCAUCCCCUUUCUUUCUUGUAAAUACCCUAAAAGAUUUUCCCCAUCUCCAUGCUCUAACAAAAAGAAAAAAAUCCCUCCGUCCCCCCAGAAAAAAGAGAACGGAAAAAAUGAUCCCUUUAAUUCCUUCCGUAUUUCUUUACUUCAUUUUCAUCUUCACGAUUGUGAACGGCGAGCAGGAUUCUAUUUACGAGAUCCUAAAGGCUCAUGGCCUGCCCAUGGGGCUACUUCCGAAGGGGAUAACCCGAUUUGACUUUAACGAUACGGGCCGGUUCGAGGUUCAUUUGGAUCAGGCCUGUAAUGCCAAGUUUGAAAGCGAGUUGCAUUACGAUAGGAAUGUGUCGGGGACUUUGAGUUACGGGCAGAUCGGGGCGUUGUCGGGGAUUACGGCUCAAGAAUUGUUUCUUUGGUUCCCGGUUAAAGGGAUCCGCGUCGAUAUUCCGAGCUCGGGUCUUAUUUAUUUUGACGUCGGUGUCGUUUUUAAGCAGUUUUCUUUGUCGUUGUUCGAAACGCCAAGGGAUUGUAUGGCGGUUUUGGAUUUUGAACCCGGUAAUUCAAUUCGAGAUGGCAAGUUUGUAGCUGAAGCAAUCGCCAAGAGUCUACCUGCGAACCUACGAUAUGAAUUCGAUCAAGAAAGUUUUGGGAGGAAUGAUAUUUAGAAAGGUGGAGAAAAGAAGUGCAAUAGCUCAAUCAGUUUAGCUCUCAAAGGUUUUUAUGGGGUCAGGUCCCCAUGCUGUAAAUUUUCGUCGGAGAGUCUGCUCUAGGAGGUUGUUACAUUUCCAUCCUGUGUGCUUCGCUUGCGUUUUUUCUUAUUCUAUAUAGUGCAGAGUCGUCCACAUGCCUAGUCCAGCGGCUCCUGUCUAUGUGAGGAUGGCCAAUGACGCGAAAAUGGAAGGUUGGGAAGCUAUAUUUUCGAUGAUAAUCAUGGUUGGUUUACCCUAUGGAAGAUAAAAGGAGAUGGGAGCAUUUGGUCGGCGAUUUCAGGUCUAAACCUCGAUGGAAUCUGUUUUCAUUAUCAGAGAGUUUGAACAGGGGUUUGUGACUUUGUGUAGUGAUAGUCAUGGGAUUUUAUUUCUCCUAAGGAUUUUUGAACUAGCAUGCUCUUCUCCAAGAUAAAAUUUUGAUUUUAUGUUUUUCCUUUUAUUUUCUUUGGCUUUGGAGAAGGGUUGUCAAAACUUUGCAAAGUUAGUGAACUUUUGGGUAUCUACCGAAUGGGCGGUGAUGCCUUAUGUUUAUUUUCUAGACAUGCAAUGAAGCAGUGAGAGGCUUUCAAGGUAGCUGUUUUAGUAUCUAAGUUAUUAGAUUUUGGAUCUGUUAGUGUCCAGAAUCAGAGAAUCACUGCAUACACAGUAUACUUCAGUACAACGUUCUGUAUCAUGGAGCUUGGUGAGAUUUUCUGAAUGUAUUAAGUGUAUAAUUUGUCUCUUCUUCAUCCUUAAUUGUCAAUUUCCCGUUUAUGUAAAA
Theobroma cacao (cacao) is the source of this 1558-nucleotide non-coding RNA. NCBI's taxonomy places the organism in Eukaryota, Viridiplantae, Streptophyta, Magnoliopsida, Malvales, Malvaceae. The record is from RefSeq and is a predicted model, not a curated record.